CCUACGGGUGGCUGCAGUGGGGAAUUUUGGACAAUGGGCGCAAGCCUGAUCCAGCCAUGCCGCGUGCGGGAAGAAGGCCUUCGGGUUGUAAACCGCUUUUGUCAGGGAAGAAAAGGUUCUGGUUAAUACCUGGGACUCAUGACGGUACCUGAAGAAUAAGCACCGGCUAACUACGUGCCAGCAGCCGCGGUAAUACGUAGGGUGCAAGCGUUAAUCGGAAUUACUGGGCGUAAAGCGUGCGCAGGCGGUUAUGCAAGACAGAGGUGAAAUCCCCGGGCUCAACCUGGGAACUGCCUUUGUGACUGCAUAGCUAGAGUACGGUAGAGGGGGAUGGAAUUCCGCGUGUAGCAGUGAAAUGCGUAGAUAUGCGGAGGAACACCGAUGGCGAAGGCAAUCCCCUGGACCUGUACUGACGCUCAUGCACGAAAGCGUGGGGAGCAAACAGGAUUAGAUACCCUUGUAGUC
RNAcentral lists this ribosomal RNA (465 nucleotides) under uncultured Roseateles sp. RNAcentral describes it as "bacterial SSU rRNA". It matches the Rfam family "Bacterial small subunit ribosomal RNA", at positions 338 to 795 of the family's 1533-position model. The record is from RNAcentral. Lineage: Bacteria; Pseudomonadati; Pseudomonadota; Betaproteobacteria; Burkholderiales; Sphaerotilaceae.